This 84-nucleotide transfer RNA is filed under the name Echinostoma caproni. It matches the Rfam family "tRNA". Rfam says of the family: Transfer RNA (tRNA) molecules are approximately 80 nucleotides in length. Their secondary structure includes four short double-helical elements and three loops (D, anti-codon, and T loops). Further hydrogen bonds mediate the characteristic L-shaped molecular structure. tRNAs have two regions of fundamental functional importance: the anti-codon, which is responsible for specific mRNA codon recognition, and the 3' end, to which the tRNAs corresponding amino acid is attached (by aminoacyl-tRNA synthetases). tRNAs cope with the degeneracy of the genetic code in two manners: having more than one tRNA (with a specific anti-codon) for a particular amino acid; and 'wobble' base-pairing, i.e. permitting non-standard base-pairing at the 3rd anti-codon position. Lineage: Eukaryota; Metazoa; Platyhelminthes; Trematoda; Plagiorchiida; Echinostomatidae. The record is from Rfam by way of RNAcentral.
GGUCUCGUAGCUUAGUGGGUAGAGCGUGCGCAGUACGAAAGCGCAGGCGGCGUUCAUGCGUGGGUUUGAAUCCCGCUGAGGCUA